AUUUUUGGGAAAAUACACGCGUCCGCCACACGCGGAUGAGGAAAGUCUGGACAUCCCCUCGAAAUGAGAAAAGCUAACGGCUUUGGUCCUGUCAUAUAUCGAAACGGCAGGAUACGGACAGUGCCACAGAGACAAUACAAUCCCUCGGGACAAAGGUGAAAAGUCCACCUCUGGUGGAUCGAGCAUUCGCUCGGCGGUAAACCCUCUCUGAUGCAAAAGGAAUGGUACUCUUGGGAGUAUAUGAUCGAGGCAAUUUCCAUAGAGUAUACCUUGCUUGAGAAUACUGGUGACAGUAUUCCUAGAUAGAUGUGUAUUGAGAUACAGAAUCCGGCUUAUUACCCAAAAAUUUUC
This 351-nucleotide RNase P RNA is filed under the name Candidatus Altimarinota bacterium. Its description in RNAcentral is "Candidatus Gracilibacteria bacterium RNase P RNA component class A". It matches the Rfam family "Bacterial RNase P class A". From Rfam's summary of the family: Ribonuclease P (RNase P) is a ubiquitous endoribonuclease, found in archaea, bacteria and eukarya as well as chloroplasts and mitochondria. The record is from RNAcentral. Lineage: Bacteria; Candidatus Altimarinota.